Molecule: long non-coding RNA, 313 nt
Organism: Ictalurus punctatus (channel catfish)
Lineage: Eukaryota; Metazoa; Chordata; Actinopteri; Siluriformes; Ictaluridae
Exons: 2
Source: RefSeq, a predicted model, not a curated record
AUAACCUGAGGGGCAUAACUAGGGCUGGUAAAAUUUGCCAUGGGUGACACACCUAAGUAACUCUUAUAGCAUAUAUACAGUUUCCACUCAACUCCAUUUGGUUUGUUUAACAGUAUAAUACCAGCUCAUGCCACGACACCUCUACAACAGCAGAGAGUUCCCGUGACCCGGUCAACGUCAACCAUCUUGAAGGACAUAUGAAUUCUCUAAUUGCACCGCAAGGAGAUGAGGAGUGAGGAAGUUUCCAGAGUAGCUAGGAGCGAGGAUACACAGGUGUAUCCUAUGUGGAAGUGUUUCUUAUCGAAAAACCUGG